AACCUGCCUUUGAGAAGGGGAUAACUGUCCGAAAGGAUAGCUAAUACCCUAUAUUGCCUUUUGUCACUAAGGCAAAAGGUGAAAGCGAGGCUGUCAAAGGCUUCGGCUCAAAGAGGGGUUCGCGUCCUAUCAGGUAGUUGGUGGGGUAAUGGCCUACCAAGCCAAUGACGGGUAGCUGGUCUUAGAGGAUGAUCAGCCACAGUGGGACUGAGACACGGCCCGCACCCCUACGGGGGGCAGCAGUGGGGAAUCGUGGGCAAUGGGCGCAAGCCUGACCCCGCAAUGCCGCGUGAGGGAAGAAGCCCUUCGGGGUGUAAACCUCUGUCAGAUGGGAAGAUGAGACUAGGGGCUAAUACCUCCUGGUCUUGACGGUACCAUCAGAGGAAGGGACGGCUA
RNAcentral lists this ribosomal RNA (396 nucleotides) under uncultured bacterium. RNAcentral describes it as "bacterial SSU rRNA". It matches the Rfam family "Bacterial small subunit ribosomal RNA", at positions 123 to 499 of the family's 1533-position model. The record is from RNAcentral.